AUAUCCGGCACGUUGAAGAACUCCAUAACCGCCUCGAAUGGCAGGUCGGGGCUGGGCAUCGGCGGCGAGAAGAGCGCCACCACCUUCCCCGCCGUGAGCUUCUUCCGCUGCGGGCAGCGCGGCGCGAGGAAUCUGGACCCGGGCACGAAGUAGGGCACGAAGGGCCCGCUCUCGCCGUCCCCGCCCGCCGCGGGCGCGGGAGCGGGAGGGGGGGAGGGGGACGGCUGCGGCGAGGCCGGGGCCGGGCGGGAGUAGGCCGGCUUCGAGCGGCGGCGGAGCCUGGCGUCGCGGAGGCGGGCGAGGGCGCCGGGGCGGAGGAAGCGGAGGUGGUCGCCGGCCGCGGCGGCGGCGGACGGGGAUCGGGGCUUGCGCGUGGCUGCCAUGUGGGGUCCGGGUGACGGUGGGAGGCGGAUUGGGCCAAUGGGAAGGGUGGGAUGCUGUGGAAGGAGGAGAGAGCGGCGGUAUUUGAAGGGGGGUUGGGGUAGGGUUGGGCGGGAGGCGCGACCCGUGGGAGGGAAAAGUUUUCGGGGGAAAUUCGUAUGUUUACUUCCAAAUCGGUAA
Molecule: ribosomal RNA, 561 nt
Filed under: Triticum aestivum (bread wheat)
Lineage: Eukaryota; Viridiplantae; Streptophyta; Magnoliopsida; Poales; Poaceae
Description: partial small subunit ribosomal RNA
Source: RNAcentral